UAAGUGCCGUGGACCUCCUUGAUUCUGGUUCUCACAUGUCCCCUUUCAGAAGGAGCAGAACUUCAAAAGCAGCCCAACUCUUUCCCGGGAAGCAAUUUCACAACACUAUCUUUUGAUUUCUCUGACCAUCUACAGGCGAUUUGUCAAGAGAAGACUCGGGUCAGCCAUCUUAAUUCAAGCCUCCACAGAGGCUUGAAGCAAGAAGUCACUGCGAGUUACCAGAAGCUCUCGAGAGCAUCGCCUCCUGGGUUGCUCCACCACAACUGUAAAAGAAACUUUGAACCUGUCUGUUCCAAACUCAGUUUACUCCCCUUGAACUUGAAUAUCAGUGGCUUGGGAAGGAAGGAAAGAUCGCGUUUGUAUGGAAAUGUCCAGCUUGUUAUCCUGAAUCACUUGCAGCCGUAAGACAAUGCCUCCUGGUACUUCAGGGAAACCAAAGACUUUUCCUGUCUCAAGGCCACUAGAGGUCAGCCACCAGAGUCACCACCAUGCAGGUGUCUCCCUGUACCUGGACAAGGCAUCCGGCGGACACACCGUCCCUCUGUAAACAUAUCAGACCUGGGCACUCCCCAAAGAAAACACUCGGUAUAAUCUUCCACUGCAU
This 604-nucleotide long non-coding RNA is filed under the name Mustela putorius furo (domestic ferret). Its description in RNAcentral is "lncRNA (ENSMPUG00000024582.1)". The record is from RNAcentral. Lineage: Eukaryota; Metazoa; Chordata; Mammalia; Carnivora; Mustelidae.